Molecule: ribosomal RNA, 407 nt
Filed under: uncultured bacterium
Lineage: Bacteria
Description: partial 16S ribosomal RNA
Rfam family: Bacterial small subunit ribosomal RNA
Source: RNAcentral
AUUGAACGCUGGCGGCAGGCCUAACACAUGCAAGUCGAGCGGAGCGGCGGACGGGUGAGUAAUGCCUAGGAAUCUGCCUGGUCGUGGGGGAUAACGUCAGGAAACGGGCGCUAAUACCGCAUACUAUCAGAUGAGCCUAGGUCGGAUUAGCUAGGUGGUGGGGUAAAGGCCUACCAAGGCGACGAUCCGUAACGGGUCUGAGAGGAUGAUCAGUCACACGGGAACUGAGACAAGGGCCAGACGCCGACGGGAGGCAGCAGUGGGGAAUAUUGGACAAUGGGCGAAAGCCGGAUCCAGCCAGGCCGCGUGUGUGAAGAAGGUCUUCGGGUUGUAAAGCACUUUAAGUUGGGAGGCGUUACCAACAGAAUAAGCACCGGCUAACUUCGUGCCAGCAGCCGCGGUAAUAC